GAUUUGGCGGUGUUUUAUUCCUAUUAGAGGAACUUGUCCCUUAAUCGAUAAUCCUCGUUUUAUCUUACUUUUAUUUGUUAUCAGUAUGUAUACCUCCGUUAUAGGUUUAUUUUUUAAGAAUUAUUUACUAUUUAAUUAAUUAAUUUUUAUUUCAGGUCAAGGUGCAGCUAAUAUUUAAGUGGAGAUGAGUUACAAUAUUAUUAAUUUGGAUUUGGAUUUGAAAUAUUUUAAUUAAAUUGGAUUUAAUAGUAAUUUUAAUUAUAAAGUUGAAUUGAAUAUGGCUCUAAAACAAGUACACAUCGCCCGUCGCUCU
RNAcentral lists this ribosomal RNA (313 nucleotides) under Calynda coronata. Its description in RNAcentral is "partial 12S ribosomal RNA". Lineage: Eukaryota; Metazoa; Arthropoda; Insecta; Phasmatodea; Diapheromeridae. The record is from RNAcentral.